CAGACCUCAAGAUAAGAUUUCCCAAUUAAGUAAGACCCCUUGAAGACGACAAGGUAGAUAGGUUGGAGGUGGAAGUGCAGCAAUGCAUGGAGCUGACCAAUACUAAUGGUACGAGGGUUUGACCUAAAAUCUA
The sequence is a ribosomal RNA, 133 nucleotides long. It matches the Rfam family "Bacterial large subunit ribosomal RNA", at positions 2793 to 2925 of the family's 2925-position model.